UGGGGAAUAUUGGACAAUGGGGGGAACCCUGAUCCAGCCAUGCCGCGUGUGUGAAGAAGGCCUUAUGGUUGUAAAGCACUUUAAGCGAGGAGGAGGGUACUGGUAUUAAUACUACCAGGUACUGGACGUUACUCGCAGAAUAAGCACCGGCUAACUCUGUGCCAGCAGCCGCGGUAAUACAGAGGGUGCGAGCGUUAAUCGGAUUUACUGGGCGUAAAGCGUGCGUAGGCGGCUAAUUGAGUCGGAUGUGAAAUCCCCGAGCUUAACUUGGGAAUUGCAUUCGAUACUGGUUAGCUAGAGUGUGGGAGAGGAUGGUAGAAUUCCAGGUGUAGCGGUGAAAUGCGUAGAGAUCUGGAGGAAUACCGAUGGCGAAAGCAGCCAUCUGGCCUAACACUGACGCUGAGGUACGAAAGCAUGGGGAGCAAACAGG
This 430-nucleotide ribosomal RNA is filed under the name Pseudomonadota bacterium. RNAcentral's name for it is "Proteobacteria bacterium partial 16S ribosomal RNA". It matches the Rfam family "Bacterial small subunit ribosomal RNA", at positions 355 to 776 of the family's 1533-position model. The record is from RNAcentral. Lineage: Bacteria; Pseudomonadati; Pseudomonadota.